CUCUAGCUCUCGAACAACUCCAGAGAAGGACAUUAGCUGCUAACGCCAGAGGACGCAAAGAACAAUAGCACAGUGGGAACCAAGCUAACGGGAGAAUGAAGGACAAACAUAUUUCCUUUGUGAAACUCUACGCUACUUCUUCCCGCCCGUCGUCCGCCAUGUUUGUUUACAAUAGCGUCACGAUUGGUCGCAAGACAUUUUGCGAGAUUUCUGGUUUUGAGAGUCGGGACUGUGUUCAGGAAUCGUUGCUACACUUCAUCACACGGGUCUCUCACAUCUUCACCUGCAGUCCGAUGAUCACAGUGUGCGCAGGGAUUGUGCAGGCGCCUCUUCUCUUCAUGUGUUCACAAAUGAAUCACUUCAUGUUGAGCGGGUCUCUCUCGCUGCGAACACACGAUGAUUCAGAUAUGGUGUUUCUGAAGAUAAACUCUUCUUCAGUCUCCCGGAGAUUAAACUCUUCCUCAGCCAGUAUUUUUCGCAGUGAAGACGUAAGGAGACUCUUUCGCACGGCAGGACUACGUUUCCUCCGCAGCAGCUCGAACACAUCACAACAGACUCACCAGCUCGGCCGUUCUCCACGUCUGUACGAUUCAGUGUGUCGAGACCAGAGAAAUCCGCACGACUUGCUUGUGUGGUGUCGCCAGCAGCCCAGGGGACAGGAAGUCGAGCAGAUCUUCAGGAGCUGCUGUGAUCCAGUGAGCAGCGAGAAGAAGAGGUCAGCUGUUCCAGUGUUCAGAGGGGGCGACGACAACAACAAAUGCUGCUAAAAACAUAGAAAUGGAAUAAACAAUGUUCAUUUAAAUGCUUUUCUAGACACAUGAAGGUUGUUUGUGUUUUACGCCCUGUUUCCAUGGUGAUCAGGCCUUUAAUGGAAGUUAUCAGGUUCAUAUCCGACGUGAUGAAAAGGUUGCAGUUUGUUAGAUUUCACUCUCACUGAGGCGGUAAAACUACGUGAUUAGGUUGAGGAACAAGAUCAUGGUCUGGUUAGAGUAAGUUUGUAACGUAAUGUAAUCUUACGUAACUGUGAACAGAUGAUGAAGAGGUUCUGGACCUGCAGGUGUAGCAGCCUCUUACAUUGAUAACAGACAUCUAAUGCACUGAUAUCAUGUAAAGCGUUUGGUUUUUACAGACGUUAAUGAUCCUCUUCUGAGACACCAGUCGUUGUUUCAAGUCCAAACAUUUAUCUGAAUAGUGUCGUUUCAGUUUCAGUGAAAUGCUUUCAGACCAGCAGAAGCACGAAGGACAGAAAGAAAGAAAGUUGUAUUUCAGAAUAAAAGACUAAAUGUGAAUCUGUAUCAGCCUGUAGUCUGUGGAAGCACCCGUGAAGCAGCAGGACCUCUAACGCAGGGCA
RNAcentral lists this long non-coding RNA (1351 nucleotides) under Cottoperca gobio. RNAcentral describes it as "lncRNA (ENSCGOG00000016941.1)". The record is from RNAcentral. Lineage: Eukaryota; Metazoa; Chordata; Actinopteri; Perciformes; Bovichtidae.